Molecule: ribosomal RNA, 481 nt
Filed under: uncultured bacterium
Lineage: Bacteria
Description: partial 16S ribosomal RNA
Rfam family: Bacterial small subunit ribosomal RNA
Source: RNAcentral
GAUGAACGCUGGCGGCGUGCCUAACACAUGCAAGUCGAGCGAAGCGCUUAAAUUAGCUUUCUUCGUCAUGACGAGUUUUGUGAGUGAUCGCCGGACGUGUGAGUAACGCGUGGGUAACCCGCCUCGUACAGGGGGCUAACAGCUAGAAAUGACUGCUAAUACCGCAUAAGACCCCAGCUUCGCAUGAAUCUGUGGUAAAAACUCCGGUGGUAUGGGAUGGAACGGCGUCUGAUUAGCUAGUUGGUAAGGUAACGGCUUACGAAGGCGACGAUCAGCAGCCGACAUGAGAGGGUGACCGGCGACACUGGGGCGGAGACACGGCCGAGAAUCUUACGGGAGGAAGCAGUGGGGAAUAUUGCACAAUGGGGGAAACCCUGAUGCAGCGACGACGCGUGAAGGAUGAAGUAUUGCGGUAUGUAAACUUAGAUAAGCAGGGGAGAAAGUGACGGUACCUGAAGAAGAAGCCCCGGCUAACUACGUG